UGGGGAAUAUUGCACAAUGGAGGGAACUCUGAUGCAGCGACGCCGCGUGAGUGAUGAAGGAAUUCGUUUUGUAAAACUCUGUUCUAUGGGAAGAAAAGGACCGUACCAUAGGAGAAAGCUCCGGCUAAAUACGUGCCAGCAGCCGCGGUAAUACGUAUGGAGCGAGCGUUGUCCGGAAUUAUUGGGCGUAAAGGGUGCGCAGGCGGCUUUACAAGUUGGAUGUGAAAUAUUGUGGCUCAACCACAAACGUGCAUCCAAAACUGCAAAGCUUGAGUUAAGGAGAGGUAGGUGGAAUUCCUGGUGUAGCGGUGGAAUGCGUAGAUAUCAGGAGGAAUACCGGUGGCGAAGGCGACUUACUGGACUUAAACUGACGCUCAGGCACGAAAGCGUGGGGAGCAAACAGG
This 404-nucleotide ribosomal RNA is filed under the name Fusobacteriota bacterium. RNAcentral's name for it is "Fusobacteria bacterium partial 16S ribosomal RNA". It matches the Rfam family "Bacterial small subunit ribosomal RNA", at positions 355 to 776 of the family's 1533-position model. The record is from RNAcentral. Lineage: Bacteria; Fusobacteriati; Fusobacteriota.